Molecule: long non-coding RNA, 897 nt
Organism: Hordeum vulgare subsp. vulgare (domesticated barley)
Lineage: Eukaryota; Viridiplantae; Streptophyta; Magnoliopsida; Poales; Poaceae
Exons: 2
Source: RefSeq, a predicted model, not a curated record
UGCCUCCCUCCCUGGAUCACGCGGCCGCCACCUCCCUCUGUGGAUCACGCGUAUCCAGGAUGGCCCCUCACACCUCGCCUCGCCACCAGCCUCCACCAUCUCCCUCUCCCGCUCACUCCUCCCACUUAAAUUAGGCGGCGGCCGGAUCCGCCCUCUCUUCCUCACCUCUCCUUAUCUUCAUAUCCCAUCCUAUCCUAUCUACUUCUUCGACACGGGGGGCACGGAGCUCGAGGAAGGUUGCCUCUUCGUCUGCUUCUUCUGCGCUCCCCUGCGUGUGCUUGGUGCGUAUGUGAUCCCGACGCCAUGGACCUUCAAGGCUCCGUCUACCUCGUCUCACUCUUUCCCUCCUCCUCAAGGAAAAUGGGAUCUUCAAGAACGGGGCAGUAGCUCUUGUGGCUUCUCCUUUGUCCAGGGAUGAGCCGGGGAGGCUUCUGUUUAUUGGCGCAUGCACACGAUUUGUCUUUGAACCAUGACAUCAUCAUGCUCGUCGGCAACUGGACAACCACUAGAGCUGCUCUGAGUCGCGAUCUUGCUCGCGACACUGGGUGCAGGUCAGCUGGAAAGAAGAAGAAGUUACAUCCAGCAUGUGAAGUUCAGCUGGUGAGCAUGUGCAGUCUAACGGCGCAUGUGUGCUUGUGUCCGUUCACUUGCAUAGCAUGUCAACCUGUGAAGAUCAGUCCGUGAACAUGUGUAGUCCGGUGGCGCAUGUGUGCUUGUGUCAGCUUCACUCACGUAGAAGAUAUAGUGCUCGUGUGCACACGACAGCCACAUCUGGUGUGAGAAGCCAAGCAAAAAUAAUAACACACUACGUUCAACUUCACAAGGGAUUCUUGUUUGGCAAUUUGGAGGAAUUUGCGACUUCGAAAAAUUGUAAUAAAUAACUCAAACAAGUCCGAC